UCGAACAGUUAGAAAGGGGAAGAUCGAAGGAGUGGAUGGAUGAUGCUUGGGACAGUUGCUGGCGGAUUUGCAUCUGCAUCUGCAUGUGCACGUUCUGUCAUUCUACUUUUUCUGUCGGCCCUUUUCGAUUUCAAUUCACACCUGUGCACCCAUCGUAGGUCUACAGAAUGUUACAAAUAUAAUA
Molecule: unclassified non-coding RNA, 184 nt
Filed under: uncultured Xerocomus
Lineage: Eukaryota; Fungi; Basidiomycota; Agaricomycetes; Boletales; Boletaceae
Description: sequence contains ITS1
Source: RNAcentral